Molecule: long non-coding RNA, 4340 nt
Filed under: Salmo salar (Atlantic salmon)
Lineage: Eukaryota; Metazoa; Chordata; Actinopteri; Salmoniformes; Salmonidae
Description: lncRNA (ENSSSAG00000090474.1)
Source: RNAcentral
GCAAGCCCAGCUUCAGACGCGAUCGUUAGGCAAGGGUAAUUUCAGUGUAGGAAAGGAUGAAACAGCGUCUGUGCCACCAGACCUGAGCCCUAGGACCAUGCCUCAGGACUACCUGGUAUGAUGACUCCUUGCUGUCCCCAGUCCACCUGGCCGUGCUGCUGCUCCAGUUUCAACUGUUCUGCCUGCGGCUAUGGAACCCUGACCUGUUCACCGGACGUGCUUGUUGCACCCUCGACAACUACUAUGAUUAUUAUUAUUUGACCAUGCUGGUCAUUUAUGAACAUUUUAACAUUUUAACAUUUUGACCAUGUUCUGUUAUAAUAUCCACCCUGCACAGCCAGAAGAGGACUGGCCACCCCUCAUAGCCUGGUUCCUCUCUAGGUUUCUUCCUAGGUUUUUGGCCUUUCUAGGGAGUUUUUCCUAGGGAGUUUUUCCUAGCCACCGUGCUUCUUUCACAUGCUUUGCUUGCUGUUUGGGGUUUUAGGCUGGGUUUCUGUACAGCACUUUGAGAAUAUCAGCUGAUGUACGAAGGGCUAUAUAAAAAUAAAUUUGAUUUGAAUUUGAUGAUUAAGCCAAUUGGUGUAUGGAUGAUUCAUAGAAUUCUACGACGUUUGAAAUGAGACUUACGUACGGUAAAGAAUAAUUAAUUAAUAGAAGACUAAUUGAUCAGAUAUUAAACACAUUUGUUUACAUCCCUGUUAGUGAACAUUUCUCCUUUACAAGUUAAUUCAUCCACCUGAGAGGUGUAGCAUAUCAAGAAGCUGAUUAAAAAUCAUGAUCAUUACACCGGUGCACCUUGUGUCGGGAACAAUAAAAGGCCACAUUAAAAUGUGCGGUUUUGUCACACAAAACAAUGCCACAGAUGUCUCAAGUUUUGUGGGGGAGUGCAAUUGUCAUAUCGGACUGUUAGCUAAUAGGUCCAUCGGCCAAUUUCUCGUGCCGCUAUUCCUAUUUUGCCAAUCGGCGUGGGCCCCUUUUACUACACAAAGCCCUGCUUAUCCAUCACGACUGGAUUACCGACGUAAUCUGCCCAAGGGUUUUUCUCCAACAUGCCCCUCCGUCGCAACCGUCGCAACGUCCCCUGAAUGCCCAUCUGCUAGUCUGCUAGCCGCGGCCCACUUGUCAGUACAUUAUGCCUUGAAUCUAUUCUAUCGCGUCCAGAAACCUGCUCCUUUUACUCUCUGUUCCAAAAGUACAAGACAACCAGUUCUUAUAGCCUUUAACUGUACCCUUAACCUACUCCUCCUCUGUUCCUCUGGUGAUGUAGAAGUUAAUCCAGGACCUGCAGCUCCUAGUUCCAUUCCUAUUCCUUAGGUGCUCUCAUUUGUUGACUUGUGUAACCGUAAAAGCCUUGGUUUCAUGCAGGUUAACAUUAGAAGCCUCCUCCCUAAGUUUGUUUUAUUAACUGCUUUAAAACACUCUGCCAACCCAGAUGUCUUAGCCGUGUCUGAAUCCUGGCUUAGAAAAAUUUCCAUCCCUAACUAUAACAUUUGCCGCCAAGAUAGAACAACCAAAGGGGGCGGAGUUGCAAUCUACUGCAGAGAUAGCCUGCAGAGUUCUGUCUUACUAUCCAGGUCUGUACCCAAACAAUUCGACCUUUCCAGAAACAAGUCUCUUACCGUUGCCGCUUGCUAUAGACCACCCUUUGCCCCCAGCUGUAACCUGGACACCAUAUGUGAAUUGAUUUCCCAUCUAUCUUCAGAGCUCGUGCUGCUAGGUGACCUAAACUGGGACAUGCUUAACACCCCGGCCAUCCUACAAUCUAAGCUUGAUGCCCUCAAUCUCACACAAAUUAUCAAUGAACCUCCCAGGUACAACCCCAAAUCCGUAAACAUGGGCACCCUCAUAGAUAUCAUCCUAACCAACCUGCGCUCCAAAUACACCUCUGCUGUUUUCAACCAAGAUCUCAGCGAUCACUGCCUCAUUGCCUGCAUCCGUAAUGGGUCUGCGGUCAAACGACCACACCUCAUCACUUUCAAACACUCCCUAAAACACUUCAGCGAGCCGGCCUUUCUAAUCAACCUGGGUAUCCUAGAAUGAUAUUGACCUCAUCCCGUCAGUAUAGGAUGCCUGGUUAUUCUUUAAAAGUGCCUUCGUCACCAUCUUAAAUAAGCAUGCUCCAUUCAAAAAAUGUAGAACCAGGAACAGAUAUAGCCCUUGGUUCACUCCAGACCUGACUGCCCUUGACCAGCACAAAAACUUCCUGUGGCAUACUGCAUUAGCAUCGAAUAGCCCCUGUGAUAUGCAACUUUUCAGGGAAGUUAGGAACCAAUAAUACACAAGCAGCUAGGAAAGCUAAGGCUAGCUUUUUCAAACAGAACUUUUCAUCCUGUAGCACAAACUCAAAAAAGUUCUGGGACACUGUAAAGUCCAUGGAGAAUAAGAGCACCUCCUCCCAGCUGCCCACUGCACUGAGGCUAGGAAACACUGUCACCACCGACAAAUCCACAAUAAUUGAGAAUUUCAAUAAGCAUUUUUCUACGGCUGGCCACACCCCCCACAGCAACUCACCCAAUCCUCCCCCACUUCUCCCUCAUCCAAAUCCAGAUAGCUGAUGUUCUGAAAGAGCUGCAAAAUCUGGACCCCUACAAAUCAGCCGGGCUAGACAAUCUGGACCCUCUCUUUUGAAAAUGAUCUGCUGAAAUUGUUGCAACCCCUAUUACUAGCCUGUUCAACCACUCAUUCGUAUCGUCUGAGAUUCCCAAAGAUUGGAAAGCUGCCGUGAUCAUCCCCCUCUUCAAAGGAGGAGACACCCAAACUGCUACAGACCUAAAUCUAUUCUACCCUGCCUUUCUAAGGUCUUCGAAAGCCAAGUUAACAAACAGAUUACCGACCAUUUCGAAUCCCACCGUGCCUUCUGCGCUAUGCAAUCUGGUUUCAGAGCUAGUCAUAGGUGAACCUCAGCCAUGCUCAAGGUCCUAAAUGAUAUCAUAACCGCCAUCGAUAAGAGACAUUGCUGUGCAGCCGUAUUCAUCGACCUGGCCAAGGCUUUCGACUCUGUCAAUCACCACAUUCUUAUCGGCAGACUAAACAGCCUUGGUUUUUAAAAUGACUGCCUCGCCUGGUUCACCAACUACUUCUCUGAUAGAGUUCAGUGUUUCAAAUCGGAGGGCCUGUUGUCUGGACAUCUAGCAGUCUCUAUGGGGGUGCCACAGGGUUCAAUUCUCGGGCCGACUCUCUUCUCUGUACACAUCAAUGAUGUCGCUCUUGCUUUUGGUGAUUCUUUGAUCCUCCUCUACGCAGACGACACCAUUCUGUAUACUUCUGGCCCUUCUUUGGACACUGUGUUAACUAACCUCCAGACGAGCUUCAAUGCUAUACAACUCUCCUUCCGUUGCCUCCAACUGCUCUUAAAUGCAAAUAAAACUAAAUGCAUGCUCUUCAACCGAUCGCUGCCCGCACCUGCCCGCCCAUCCAGCAUCACUACUCUGGACGGUUCUGACUUAGAAUAUGUGGACAACUACAAAUACCUAGGCGUCUGGUUAGACUGUAAACUCUCCUUCCAGACUCACAUUAAGCAUCUCCAAUCCAAAAUUAAAUCUAGAGUCGGCUUCCUAUUUCGCAACAAAGCAUCCUUCACCCCAUAUACUACCUACCAUUGCGACCUGUACGCUCUCGUUGGCUGGCCCUCGCUUCAUACUCGUCGCCAAACCCACUUGCUCCAGGUCAUCUACAGGUCUCUGCUAGGUAAAGCCCCGCCUUAUCUCAGCUCAGCUCAGCUCACCAUAGCAGCACCUACCCGUAGCACGCGCUCCAGCAGGUAUAUCUCACUAGUCACCCCCAAAGCCAAUUCCUCUAUUGGCCGCCUUUCCUUCCAGUUCUCUGCUGCCAAUGACUGGAACGAACUGCAAAAAUCACUGAUGCUGGAGACUCUUAUCUCCCUCCCUAGCUUUAUGCACCAGCUGUCAGAGCAGCUCACAGAUCACUGCACCUGUACAUAGCCCAUCUGUAAUGUAGCCCAUCCAACUACCUCAUCACCAUACAGUAUUUAUUUAUCUUGCUCCUUUGCACCCCAGUAUCUCUACUUGCACAUUCAUCUUCUGCACAUCAAUGACUCCAGUGUUAAAAUGGUAUAUUGUAAUUACUUCGCCACCAUGGCCUAUUUAUUGCCUUACCUCCCUUCUCUUACCUCAUUUGCACACACUGUAUAUAUAUUUUUUCCCCUGUAUUAUUGACUGUAUUUUUGUUUAUUCCAUGUGUAACUCUGUGUUAUUGUAUGUGUCGAACUGCUUUGCUUUAUUCUUGUCCAGGUUGCAGUUGUAAAUGAGAACUUGUUCUCAACUAGCCUACCUGCUUAUAUCAAGAUGAAAUAAAAAUGUGGCUGAGAGCCUCAAGUUGCU